CAGCAGUAGCCGCGGUAAUACGAAGGGUGCAAGCGUUACUCGGAAUUACUGGGCGUAAAGCGUGCGUAGGUGGUGGUUUAAGUCCGUUGUGAAAGCCCUGGGCUCAACCUGGGAAUUGCAGUGGAUACUGGGUCACUAGAGUGUGGUAGAGGAUAGUGGAAUUUCCGGUGUAGCAGUGAAAUGCGUAGAGAUCGGAAGGAACAUCUGUGGCGAAGGCGACUAUCUGGGCCAACACUGACACUGAGGCACGAAAGCGUGGGGAGCAAACAGGAUUAGAUACCCGGGUAGUCCCUGUCUCUUAUAC
RNAcentral lists this ribosomal RNA (304 nucleotides) under uncultured bacterium. RNAcentral's name for it is "partial 16S ribosomal RNA". It matches the Rfam family "Bacterial small subunit ribosomal RNA", at positions 506 to 807 of the family's 1533-position model. The record is from RNAcentral.